This 1392-nucleotide ribosomal RNA is filed under the name uncultured bacterium. RNAcentral describes it as "16S ribosomal RNA". It matches the Rfam family "Bacterial small subunit ribosomal RNA". The record is from RNAcentral.
AGAGUUUGAUUCUGGCUCAGGACGAACGCUGGCGGCGUGCUUAACACAUGCAAGUCGAACGGAGCGCCUAUGAUAGAGACUUCGGUCAAUGGAUUAGGUUGCUUAGUGGCGGACUGGUGAGUAACGCGUGAGGAACCUGCCUUUCAGAGGGGGACAACAGUUGGAAACGACUGCUAAUACCGCAUGAUAUGUAACUGGGGCAUCCCGGAUACAUCAAAGAUUUAUCGCUGAAAGAUGGCCUCGCGUCUGAUUAGAUAGUUGGUGGGGUAACGGCCUACCAAGUCGACGAUCAGUAGCCGGACUGAGAGGUUGACCGGCCACAUUGGGACUGAGAUACGGCCCAGACUCCUACGGGAGGCAGCAGUGGGGAAUAUUGCACAAUGGGGGAAACCCUGAUGCAGCGACGCCGCGUGAGCGAAGAAGUAUUUCGGUAUGUAAAGCUCUAUCAGCAGGGAAGAAAAUGACGGUACCUGACUAAGAAGCACCGGCUAAAUACGUGCCAGCAGCCGCGGUAAUACGUAUGGUGCAAGCGUUAUCCGGAUUUACUGGGUGUAAAGGGAGCGUAGACGGCUGUGUAAGUCUGAAGUGAAAGCCCGGGGCUCAACCCCGGGACUGCUUUGGAAACUAUGCAGCUAGAGUGUCGGAGAGGCAAGUGGAAUUCCCAGUGUAGCGGUGAAAUGCGUAGAUAUUAGGAGGAACACCAGUGGCGAAGGCGGCUUACUGGACUGUAACUGACGUUGAGGCGCGAAAGCGUGGGGAGCAAACAGGAUUAGAUACCCUGGUAGUCCACGCUGUAAACGAUGAAUACUAGGUGUGGGAGGACUGACCCCUUCCGUGCCGCAGUUAACACAAUAAGUAUUCCACCUGGGGAGUACGACCGCAAGGUUGAAACUCAAAGGAAUUGACGGGGGCCCGCACAAGCAGUGGAUUAUGUGGUUUAAUUCGACGCAACGCGAAGAACCUUACCAGGAUUUGACAUCCAACUAACGAAGCAGAGAUGCAUUAGGUGCCCUUCGGGGAAAGUUGAGACAGGUGGUGCAUGGUUGUCGUCAGCUCGUGUCGUGAGAUGUUGGGUUAAGUCCCGCAACGAGCGCAACCCUUGCCUUUAGUUGCCAGCAUUAAGUUGGGCACUCUAGAGGGACUGCCAGGGAUAACCUGGAGGAAGGUGGGGAUGACGUCAAAUCAUCAUGCCCCUUAUGCUUAGGGCUACACACGUGCUACAAUGGGUGGUACAGAGGGCAGCCAAGUCGUGAGGCGGAGCUAAUCCCUUAAAGCCAUUCUCAGUUCGGAUUGUAGGCUGAAACUCGCCUACAUGAAGCUGGAGUUACUAGUAAUCGCAGAUCAGAAUGCUGCGGUGAAUGCGUUCCCGGGUCUUGCACACACCGCCCGUCA